Molecule: long non-coding RNA, 770 nt
Filed under: Elaeis guineensis (African oil palm)
Lineage: Eukaryota; Viridiplantae; Streptophyta; Magnoliopsida; Arecales; Arecaceae
Description: long non-coding RNA (EGUI_LNC060470)
Source: RNAcentral
UAAAUCUAAUCAAUUGUUGUCUUAGAUUAGGUCAAGGAUUCUCUAGAUCAAUUACAAUAGUUGUAGUUGGUCAAGUCCAUGUCUUUAACGAGAACCAAAUAGACUUGAUUCUUGGCUAAGCGAUCUAGCAUGAACUGUUAGAUUGAUCCAAUCGAAACUAAUUAAACUAGUUGGUGUCUAAGGUAAACCAGACCGGUGGUUUUUAAUUGGGAGCCCACUUAUCUAGCCAUUUCUGAUGGUGUCUAAGGCAAGCUUUGGCAGACCCUUCCACCGAUUGAACUUACCUGACCUCUUGAUGAAAUUAUAUUUUGAUUGGACCACUUGACUAUUCGAGCUAACCCAUGUCAGCUACGUAAAUCAGUGUGACUGAUUUAGGUGCUCCUAGACCAGCCCUUUUAAUGAUCUCCCUUAAGCUGACUUGGUGAAGCUAGUGGGAGGAUCAUGAUAAGCUGGUUCAUCUGACCUCAUCCUCUAAAUCAAUUAAAUCUUCUAAAAUUAUUAGGUCCUUAAAAUAAAACAGUUAUGGUGAUAACUAGAUCAUAGCCUCCCAUUAAGUGGAUGAUAAUGAGUCCAUCAGUUGGAUAAUCAUUCGAGGCCCAAAGGCCUGGUGCUUAUCGACUGAUGGAAUUAUCAUUCAUAAUAUGAUUUUUUUACUGCAUCUUUCUAAAUGAUGGUUAGGUUAGUCAAUCAAAAUUGGGCCUAAUCAUUCAUUGGCUAGAUGGGCCAAGUAUGGUCAUGUUAAUGGUUGAACCUAACCAGACCUUUUCAGC